AGAACGAACGCUGGCGGCAGGCCUAACACAUGCAAGUCGAGCGGAUGAGAGGAGCUUGCUCCUCGAUUCAGCGGCGGACGGGUGAGUAAUGCCUAGGAAUCUGCCUAGUAGUGGGGGACAACGUUUCGAAAGGAACGCUAAUACCGCAUACGUCCUACGGGAGAAAGUGGGGGAUCUUCGGACCUCACGCUAUUAGAUGAGCCUAGGUCGGAUUAGCUAGUUGGUAGGGUAAAGGCCUACCAAGGCGACGAUCCGUAACUGGUCUGAGAGGAUGAUCAGUCACACUGGAACUGAGACACGGUCC
This 304-nucleotide ribosomal RNA is filed under the name uncultured Pseudomonas sp. RNAcentral describes it as "bacterial SSU rRNA". It matches the Rfam family "Bacterial small subunit ribosomal RNA", at positions 26 to 332 of the family's 1533-position model. Lineage: Bacteria; Pseudomonadati; Pseudomonadota; Gammaproteobacteria; Pseudomonadales; Pseudomonadaceae. The record is from RNAcentral.